GGAAACCGGAGCUAAUACCGGAUAAUAUAUUGAACCGUAUGGUUCAAUAGUGAAAGACGGUUUUGCUGUCACUUAUAGAUGGAUCCGCGCCGCAUUAGCUAGUUGGUAAGGUAACGGCUUACCAAGGCAACGAUGCGUAGCCGACCUGAGAGGGUGAUGGCCACACUGGAACUGAGACACGGUCCAG
RNAcentral lists this ribosomal RNA (187 nucleotides) under uncultured Staphylococcus sp. RNAcentral describes it as "partial 16S ribosomal RNA". It matches the Rfam family "Bacterial small subunit ribosomal RNA", at positions 152 to 334 of the family's 1533-position model. Lineage: Bacteria; Bacillati; Bacillota; Bacilli; Caryophanales; Staphylococcaceae. The record is from RNAcentral.